Mytilus trossulus (common blue mussel) is the source of this 884-nucleotide long non-coding RNA. RefSeq lists it as uncharacterized. The record is from RefSeq and is a predicted model, not a curated record. The transcript is spliced from 3 exons. NCBI's taxonomy places the organism in Eukaryota, Metazoa, Mollusca, Bivalvia, Mytilida, Mytilidae.
UUUAAGCCCAAGGCUGUUUUAACAAGAUGACGGAAAAUUAAUAAGAAAUGAGUUGAAGGAUGGACAGAGAAGAUCAACGUAGAUACCUUGUGGUUGGAUCUGUCAUUUUAGAAGUGGUUACUCCCUUGUUUCGAAAAAAGAUUGAAAAUGAGUAUAAAACUGGUGGUUUUGGAUCCUUUCCUGCAUUUAUCAACAGUCAACCAGUUAUUCACACUCUAUUUCACCUACGACACAGAAACUCAUGGUGCUGUAAAGACAAAUCGAAAUGUCGUAACCAUGCUGCACUGCCUUUGUUUUACUGCCAAUGGAAAAAAAUGUAUUCAGAAAAUCCCGGACCAGGAAUCCACAACUGUCACUGUAAAUUCACAGCUCAUCCUGUUCAACUAAAUGAACUAUAUAUCACCCUUUCCAGUCUUGUUUUAUUAAACUGUUGUAAUCUAUCACAACCUGAAGAGGAAGCUGUUCAACUAUUACGACAAUACAAGAAUGAUUACUUGAGUCAUAAUACAACAGGCUGUAUUACCCAAACUGAAUACAAUACAUUAUGGCAAGACCUAGUUACUUAUAACCUAAGGCCUGAUCCAACUAAACAGGAUGAUCUAGUUAGGAUAGAACACCGACCACUAGAUAAGUCAUUGUGUUAAAAAAUACUUUACAUGCCUUUUAGAUCUUCACCAACAGUUAGAAGAGAUAAUGUCGGCAAUGCAAACUGUGCAUUCUUCCAUCCAAGUUGUCAGUUCUUCCAUAGGUGAACUAAACAGUUCUGUCAAGACAGCUUUUCAGGAAAUGGAUACAACAGUUCAUAGAACGGACACAGCAGUUCAAGGAAUGGAUACAAGAAUUCAAGGAAUGUAAAAUUCCAUCCAAGGAAUAUAAACAUCAGU